This 467-nucleotide ribosomal RNA is filed under the name uncultured bacterium. RNAcentral describes it as "partial 16S ribosomal RNA". It matches the Rfam family "Bacterial small subunit ribosomal RNA", at positions 28 to 506 of the family's 1533-position model. The record is from RNAcentral.
GACGAACGCUGGCGGCGCGCCUAACACAUGCAAGUCGAACGGAGUUGCGAGAAGCUUGCUUUUCUUAGCUUGGUGGCGAACGGGUGAGUAACGCGUGAGUAACCUGCCCUGGAGUGGGGGACAACAGUUGGAAACGACUGCUAAUACCGCAUAAGCCCACGAUCCGGCAUCGGAUUGAGGGAAAAGGAUUUAUUCGCUUCAGGAUGGACUCGCGUCCAAUUAGCUAGUUGGUGAGGUAACGGCCCACCAAGGCGACGAUUGGUAGCCGGACUGAGAGGUUGAACGGCCACAUUGGGACUGAGACACGGCCCAGACUCCUACGGGAGGCAGCAGUGGGGGAUAUUGCACAAUGGGGGAAACCCUGAUGCAGCGACGCCGCGUGGAGGAAGAAGGUUUUCGGAUUGUAAACUCCUGUCGUUAGGGACGAUAAUGACGGUACCGAACAAGAAAGCACCGGCUAACUACGU